UAAAAAUUAAGUCAUUAUACAUCAAAUCCGACAGUUACAUAAAAAUUAAAAAGUCAUUACACAAGACACCAGAAUCCUCAACAGUUUUAUAUGCUUCACAAGCCAGCAGAUGCGAAAAAGUAAAUAAAAUGAGGAUGUUUCCAGGAAGCUGCCUAGGAAUUACGACUAAAAAGAAAAGCAGGUGGUCAACCAACAUAAACGGGUAGAUAAACAGUACUACUAAGAGACAGCAGCAGAAGGAAUAUGAGGUGCGUUACAUUCCCAUGCAGAAGAGAGCCAAUCCAACAAAUAGUGCAACAGAGAGGCCAGGGAAGUGGGGUGCAGCAGCUGGUGAUGUGGGGCCAUCAGCAAGGGUCUCAUUUUUCACUUGAGGAUGCACCUUCACUGGGAGCUUCAAUCCAUUUUUGCAGCUGUCCAAGCUGCCACUGGUGAAGAAUCUGACGCCCUCACUCUCGAGGGGUAUCUU
RNAcentral lists this long non-coding RNA (466 nucleotides) under Coffea arabica (coffee). RNAcentral describes it as "long non-coding RNA (CARA_LNC006426)". The record is from RNAcentral. Lineage: Eukaryota; Viridiplantae; Streptophyta; Magnoliopsida; Gentianales; Rubiaceae.